Molecule: unclassified non-coding RNA, 492 nt
Filed under: uncultured cyanobacterium
Lineage: Bacteria; Bacillati; Cyanobacteriota
Description: partial 16S-23S ribosomal RNA intergenic spacer
Rfam family: tRNA (bases 319-391)
Source: RNAcentral
GAGGCGCCGAAGGCAGUGCUAGUGACUGGGGUGAAGUCGUAACAAGGUAGCCGUACCGGAAGGUGUGGCUGGAUCACCUCCUUUUAGGGAGACCUAACCUACUGAAGUUUGAAAGCAAUCAGCAAAUAGAACGCAGUAAGGUCAUCUCGAAGGUCGUGCGAGGGGGAGAAACGGGAGUCACUUUCAAAUUUAGGUUCGUGGACAUGGGCUAUUAGCUCAGGUGGUUAGAGCGCACCCCUGAUAAGGGUGAGGUCCCUGGUUCAAGUCCAGGAUGGCCCACUUAUCAACCGUUGAUAAUCAUCAAUUGUUGAUAUCAAUGGGGGUAUAGCUCAGUUGGUAGAGCGCCUGCUUUGCAAGCAGGAUGUCAGCGGUUCGAGUCCGCUUACCUCCACCAAAACCACGAAAUGAUGAAACAAACUCAGCAUCAACACCACAGUCUAAAAGAAAAGACAAAAGAUGUUGUUGAAUGCUGAAAGAAAUUUCAGCAAAGCA